GACGAACGCUGGCGGCGUGCCUAAUACAUGCAAGUAGAACGAGAUGCGAACGGGUGGGUAACGCGUGGUACCCUGCCUCAUAGCGGGGGAUAACUAUUGGAAACGAUUGCUAAUACCGCAUACUGUGCGAUGGACCUGCGUUGUAUUAGCUAGUAGGUGGGGUAACGGCUCACCUAGGCGCCGAUCCCUAGCUGGUCUGAGAGGCUGAUCAGCCACACUGGAACUGAGACAGGGUCCAGACUCCUGCGGUAGGGCGCAGUGGGGAAUGUGGCACAAGUGGCGCAAAUCUUACGCAGCCAGGCGGCGUGUAUGAAGAAGGCCUUCGGGUUGGAAAGUCCGUUCAGCGGGGAGGCGUUACCCGCAGAAGAAGCACCGGCUAACUCCGUGCCAGCAGCCGCGGUAAUUC
This 406-nucleotide ribosomal RNA is filed under the name uncultured bacterium. Its description in RNAcentral is "partial 16S ribosomal RNA". It matches the Rfam family "Bacterial small subunit ribosomal RNA", at positions 28 to 526 of the family's 1533-position model. The record is from RNAcentral.